GUAGUCGUGGCCAAGUGGUUAAGGCGAAGGACUUGAAAUCUAUUGGGGUCUCCCCACGCAGGUUCAAAUCCUGCCAACUACG
This 82-nucleotide transfer RNA is filed under the name Danio rerio (zebrafish). It matches the Rfam family "tRNA". From Rfam's summary of the family: Transfer RNA (tRNA) molecules are approximately 80 nucleotides in length. Their secondary structure includes four short double-helical elements and three loops (D, anti-codon, and T loops). Further hydrogen bonds mediate the characteristic L-shaped molecular structure. tRNAs have two regions of fundamental functional importance: the anti-codon, which is responsible for specific mRNA codon recognition, and the 3' end, to which the tRNAs corresponding amino acid is attached (by aminoacyl-tRNA synthetases). tRNAs cope with the degeneracy of the genetic code in two manners: having more than one tRNA (with a specific anti-codon) for a particular amino acid; and 'wobble' base-pairing, i.e. permitting non-standard base-pairing at the 3rd anti-codon position. Lineage: Eukaryota; Metazoa; Chordata; Actinopteri; Cypriniformes; Danionidae. The record is from Rfam by way of RNAcentral.